UAGGGAAUCUUCGGCAAUGGGGGCAACCCUGACCGAGCAACGCCGCGUGAGUGAAGAAGGUUUUCGGAUCGUAAAGCUCUGUUGUAAGUCAAGAACGAGUGUGAGAGUGGAGAGUUCACACUGUGACGGUAGCUUACCAGAAAGGGACGGCUAACUACGUGCCAGCAGCCGCGGUAAUACGUAGGUCCCGAGCGUUGUCCGGAUUUAUUGGGCGUAAAGCGAGCGCAGGCGGUUUGAUAAGUCUGAAGUUAAAGGCUGUGGCUCAACCAUAGUUCGCUUUGGAAACUGUCAAACUUGAGUGCAGAAGGGGAGAGUGGAAUUCCAUGUGUAGCGGUGAAAUGCGUAGAUAUAUGGAGGAACACCGGUGGCGAAAGCGGCUCUCUGGUCUGUAACUGACGCUGAGGCUCGAAAGCGUGGGGAGCGAACAGGAUUAGAUACCCUGGUAGUCCACGCCGUAAACGAUGAGUGCUAGGUGUUGGAUCCUUUCCGGGAUUCAGUGCCGCAGCUAACGCAUUAAGCACUCCGCCUGGGGAGUACGACCGCAAGGUUG
This 550-nucleotide ribosomal RNA is filed under the name uncultured bacterium. Its description in RNAcentral is "bacterial SSU rRNA". It matches the Rfam family "Bacterial small subunit ribosomal RNA", at positions 355 to 896 of the family's 1533-position model. The record is from RNAcentral.